RNAcentral lists this ribosomal RNA (253 nucleotides) under uncultured bacterium. RNAcentral describes it as "partial 16S ribosomal RNA". It matches the Rfam family "Bacterial small subunit ribosomal RNA", at positions 524 to 776 of the family's 1533-position model. The record is from RNAcentral.
UACAGAGGGCCCAAGCGUUGUUCGGAUUCACUGGGCGUAAAGCGCGUUCAGGCGGUUUGGCAAGUCGGGCAUGAAAUCUCUCGGCUCAACCGGGAGAGGUUGUCCGAUACUGCUGGACUUGAGGGCAGUAGAGGGUGGUGGAAUUCCGGGUGUAGUGGUGAAAUGCGUAGAUAUCCGGAGGAACACCAGUGGCGAAAGCGGCUUCCUGGUCCAGCACCGACGUUCAGGCACGAAAGCGUGGGGAGCAAACAGG